ACUAUUUUGGCAGAUAAGUGCCUUGAAUUUAGAAUUCAAUUAUGUAAUUAAGUAUUACAAAUAGUA
This 66-nucleotide transfer RNA is filed under the name Phaneroptera nigroantennata. RNAcentral's name for it is "tRNA-Leu". The record is from RNAcentral. Lineage: Eukaryota; Metazoa; Arthropoda; Insecta; Orthoptera; Tettigoniidae.